UACGUAGGGUGCAAGCGUUAAUCGGAAUUACUGGGCGUAAAGCGUGCGUAGACGGUUAUGUAAGUCAGGUGUGAAAGCCCCGGGCUCAACCUGGGAAUUGCAUUUGAGACUGCAUAGCUAGGGUGCGGAAGAGGGAAGCGGAAUUUCCGGUGUAGCGGUGAAAUGCGUAGAUAUCAGAAGGAACACCAGUGGCGAAAGCGGCUUCCUGGUCCAGCACCGACGUUCAGGCACGAAAGCGUGGGGAGCAAACAGG
RNAcentral lists this ribosomal RNA (253 nucleotides) under uncultured bacterium. Its description in RNAcentral is "partial 16S ribosomal RNA". It matches the Rfam family "Bacterial small subunit ribosomal RNA", at positions 524 to 776 of the family's 1533-position model. The record is from RNAcentral.